UACGAACCGUACAACCGUUAUUCGGAAUCACUGGGCUUAAAGGGUGCGUAGGCGGCCAUGUAAGUGAGAUGUGAAAUCCCUCGGCUCAACCGAGGAAGUGCAUUUCAUACUGCAUGGCUUGAGGGAGACAGGGGUAAGCGGAACUGAUGGUGGAGCGGUGAAAUGCGUUGAUAUCAUCAGGAACACCGGUGGCGAAAGCGGCUUACUGGGUCUCUUCUGACGCUGAGGUACGAAAGCUAGGGGAGCGAACGGG
This 253-nucleotide ribosomal RNA is filed under the name uncultured bacterium. RNAcentral's name for it is "partial 16S ribosomal RNA". It matches the Rfam family "Bacterial small subunit ribosomal RNA", at positions 524 to 776 of the family's 1533-position model. The record is from RNAcentral.